CCCAGCACUGAAUCGCGCGGCCGAACGGUCGCAGCGAAAUGUAGUGUAUGGGAGGAUUCUGCUGCUAUCACACGGUGUGUCCAAGUCCUUCUUGAACGGGGCCGUUUACCCAUAGAGGGUGCCAGGCCCGUAGAGACCACUGUCGAUAGCGGAGUCAGAGUCUCUCCUUUGAGUCGGGUUGCUUGAGAGUGCAGCCCUAAGUAGGUGGUAAGCUCCAUCUAAGGCUAAAUAUAACCACGAGUCCGAUAGCGAACAAGUACCGUGAGGGAAAGUUGAAAAGGACUUUGAAGAGAGAGUUCAAGAGUACGUGAAACCGUUUAGUUGAAAACCUGAGAGGCCUGAAGUUCGAAUGGGGAGAUUCAUUGCGUCAAGCUUGGGCGAGUGCCGUUUGUAUCAGUGUUUGCCAUUGUGCAUUCAUUCAUUCACUUACGUGCGCCGCUAUCUUGUGGAUCGCGUGCACUUUUCCCCUAGUAGAACGUCGCGACCCGUUUGGUGUCGGUAGUGGCUCGCAGUGGAGCCCGGCCUUCGGCUUCGGUCGAUCGUCCGGACCUGUGAUGUCCCGUCCGGCUGCUCGACGGUCGUGGAAUACUAGUGGCGUAGAGCGUCGCCUUUGCGCGCGUUCGGCCUGAUACUGUACGCAUUCGUUUACCCACACACCGCACUUGUGUCGGUCGCGGGGCCGGGUGGCAGUUAGUUUCGGUGUUGCCGGACAGUCUCUACGCCUGUUAGCGGCGCGCUAGCGUUAGGUCCUUACAGGUCCCGUCUU
Molecule: ribosomal RNA, 766 nt
Filed under: Dinarda hagensii
Lineage: Eukaryota; Metazoa; Arthropoda; Insecta; Coleoptera; Staphylinidae
Description: eukaryotic LSU rRNA
Rfam family: Eukaryotic large subunit ribosomal RNA
Source: RNAcentral